CAUUUGUAAGUUCAAGUGAGCAAAACAUUUUGCGAUUAAAUUCACGGGAUAUUGUUUCAAUUAAAAUGAAACAGAUAAGCUAUAGUUGUAUUUUCUCGGCAGGAAGCUCUCUCAUAUAUAUAAAUGGCGAAUCGCGCAAACUUUAAGUACACAUCUGAAAACAUGGCCAAGGAACAAGCAAUGUAUUUCCUUCUCUUGCUGACUUCUGCAUUGGUCUUGGCAGUUCAAUGCGCUCCUGCAUCAGGAAACCCGCAAUCAGACGCCGAAGAAAGGGAUCAGCGCCAGUUUUUUUCUGCCAUUGGAAAGAUAAUUGGAGAUAUCAUUGGAUAAAGCAGGAAAUGUGAGAUGAAGAACAAAUCUGAGAUGACCCAACGCUUUGAACAAGUAGAGUAAUAUUGCAUUUUUGUGGAGUCGGCCAGUUAAUAAAUUGUUAUCAAUGUAUUCAUAA
Long non-coding RNA from Cloeon dipterum, 448 nucleotides. RefSeq lists it as uncharacterized. The record is from RefSeq and is a predicted model, not a curated record. NCBI's taxonomy places the organism in Eukaryota, Metazoa, Arthropoda, Insecta, Ephemeroptera, Baetidae. The transcript is spliced from 3 exons.